GCCAUUGACCGAUGGGCAGGGUUAACUUGACUUUUUCUCCUGCCUUGGGGGGGGGGGAUGUGGAUUCUUUUAAGAAUGUGGAUAUUUGGGUCAUCUUUGGCGCCCCCUAGAACGUAAACCGUAGGGAGCAGCGUCAUGAUUUCUACAACUUUGAAUGGCCAUGGGAUGUAGAUCGGCUUGAGCAAAUUUGGUGUUGGUGGGACGAAAGCCUUAGGAGGAGUUAGCCACAUUCCAAUGUGUGCGAAUCGGCAAAAAAUGCAAAAUAGCCCUUUAACCGUACAUUUUACAGAUACGUGCCCAUUGACUUUUUCGUAGAUCUUAUUGAGAUACACGUGUGUGUCAAAUUUUGUGUCAUUUUGACAAAGCGUAUAGGCGUGACAGUCAACAAUGUGUUUUUUCACCUUAGGGGACAAGAAAAAAAUGGAAUUUUUUCUCCUGCCAUGGGGGGGCGCACUUUUGGGGAGUAAAAAUUCCUUUACAAAUGUGUUGAUGGCUGGACAUUGCAUCAUCCUAGAAAACUUGGAGGCCAGUGAGGACAAAAAUAAAAAGUUAUAACACUUUUAAGAAUAUGGAUAUUUGGGUCAUCUUUGGCGCCCCCUAGAACGUAAACCGUGGGGUGCAGAGUCAUGAUUUUUACAACUUUGAAUGGGCAUGGGGUGUAGAUUGCCCUGAGCAAAUUUGGUGUCAGUGGGACGAAAGCUGUAGGACGAGUUAGCCACAUUCCAAUGUGUGCGAAUCAGCAAAAAAUGCAAAAUAGCCCUUUAACCGUACAUUUUACAGAUACGUGCCCAUUGACUUUUUCGUAGAUCUUAUUGAGAUACAUGUGUGUGUCAAUUUUUGUGUCAAUAUGACAAAGCGUACAGGCGUGACAGUCAACAAUGUGUAUUUUCACCUUAGGGGACAAGAAAAAAUGGACUUUUUUCUCCUGCCAUGUGGGGGCGCUCUUUUGGGGAGUAAAAAUUCCUUCACAAAUGUGUUGAUGGCUGGACAUUGCAUCAUCCUAGAGAAUUUGGAGGCCAGUGAGGAAAAAAAUAAAAAGUUAUAAGACUUUUAAGAAUGUGGAUUUUUUGGUUAUCUUUGGCGCCCCCUAGAACCUAAACCGUGGGGUGCAGCGUCAUGAUUUGUACAACUUUCGAUGGCCAUGGGGUGUAGAUUGGCCUGAGCAAAUGUGGUGCCGGUGGAACGAAAGCCUUCGGAGGAGUUAGCGAAAUUUCAAUGUGUGCGGAUCGGCAAAAAAUGCGAAAUAACCCUUUAACCGUACAUUUGACAGAUACGCCCGCACUGACUUUUUUGUAGAUCUUAUUGAGAUACAUGUGUGUGUCAAUUUUUGUGUCAAUAUGACAAAGCGUACAGGCGUGACAGUCAACAGUGUGAAUUUCCACCUUAGGGGGCGCUAUGGAGCCAUUUUGCAUUUUAUUGUUUGGGCGACUUCAGAAUAUCGAAUUUUUCACCAGGCCCGGUCGUCCUGCCAAAUUUCAUGAGUUUUCGCCAGUGGGAAGUGGGCCAUUUUCCAGUUUAAAGCGGAGGAAAAAUAAUAAUAAUAAUAAUAACUAGGACCCCGUUGGGGCACUGGCGGGCCCGAGCUGUGUCGCGUCCCCCCCCCAACGCGCUGCCUCCCCGUCCCAUUUGUGUCCUCUGGCCAUCGCCCUCUCUGGUAACGCCCAUCACUGCAAAGACCCUUUUCCUUCAUCGGCGUUUGCUGUUCUUCCUGCCAGUGCUUUUUGCUUUCACUUACACUUGCCACAGCCAGCCUCGUGAGUGCCUAGCCUAUUGGAUAUUACUGUCACCUACACAGGACAGUCAUUACCUUUCUAUUAAUACUUUGUUUUUUAAUUUCACAUUAAUUUCCAUAUUGUAUAAACAACUGGAAAAAACUUGAGCCCCUGCCCCUGUAUAAUCAUGUGCACGUCUCUGUUCUAGCUCUAAGGUGAAUCUUCACUGCUCAUGUUCUCCUCAGAAGCAGUCACCUCACUCCCCUCAGGUUACUGUACACAUGCACCAACUGCCUGCUUCAGGUUUGGAUGGAGCUUCAUGGUUGUCUUUUGGAGAAAUGACCAGUCAAGUUGUGUUUGAAAUUUGAUUUUUUUCAGGGGCAAAAGGAGCCUCUGCAUUCUUGUCAAAUAUGUAAAUAGCAUGUUUUUGCAGGUGCUAAAAACCAGACUCUGAGUGUGUGUGUGUGCGUGUGUGUGUGUGUCUGUGUGUGUGUGUGUGUGCGUUCAAGUCACAUGACAUAUUUAACCGGAUGUAGCUGCAAGACGGAGCCUCGUUGACUCUCCGUUUCAAUUUAUCUCAAAAGUGAGGACCUCAACCUAUAUACCAGUUUUUAAAUUGUGUUGAUAGGCCAAAUAAAACCAGAGUUAUGAUAAAUUAUGUCCGCGAUACUUGUUUUCUGCUUAUUUUGAUCACGUUCGGCGCUCGAUCGCGCUGUAUGAGACAGGAAAACAUAGCAUGCAGACAUUAGCGACAGGUCUUACAGGCGGAAAAGGCUUGCCAAAGGAAAAAAAAAACACACCACAACAUCUCUCCUAUUGGUGGAAAACUUCACCACAACAACCAAUCCAAAAUUAUAUGGUGACUGAUUGACAAGGGGCGGGAACUUACGUUCUUCCUGCAAUAUGAGAAGGGAGGGAGGGACUCUCAGCAGGGAUGCAGUCUGGGACACGUAGUUGCAAACCUAGCGACUUUGUUGUUAGAUUCAAUGACUUUUCAGACCCCCUAACGACUUUUUUUUAGAAAGAAAGUGACUUUUAUCGACUUCUUCUGGAGUUUAGAGACUCUGACAUGAAGCAGGCUUUCCUUACUGAGGAGUUAGCAACGCUGCUAAGGGUGCAGAGCCACACAUGCGCUCCGAGCUCUGCAUGGGAGACUGAAGCUGACAGAGCUGCAGCAGUUAGCAGGUUUCACCCUCAGAGACCACCAGGGGUUCAUGUUGAGGCAUUUUAAAAAAUUUUUUUGUGUGCCAUAGACACUGUCAGCACAAUCUGCAGUUACACUAACAAAAAUGCUGCAAAAAACAAAGAAUUAUGGAAAAAUUACACAUGGACUGACAUAGAGGAGGAUCUACACAAGUUUUUUACAUCAUGUUUUACAUCAUGCAUCAUUUACAUCAUGUUUUUUUGUAGUGGCAUAAAUAAAAAGUGACAUUUGUGAGACUAUACAGUGUUUUGUAAAUAAUUUUACAAAGAACGCCUGGGCCAUUGCCUGCAUUUUGAUGAAAAUAGAGGUAAAUCACUAUGUUCUUUGUUUAAAAUUUGCAUAUGUUUUGAAGUUUACAAUUUUUAUUUGAAGUUUAAGUUUUAAAAACAGUUCAUCACACAUAUUUGUGGUUUAAUUUCACAUUAAUUUCCAUAUUAUAUAAAUGACUGGAAAAAACUUGAGCCCCUGCCCCUGUAUAAUCAUGUGCACGUCCCUGUUCUAGCUCCAAGGUGAAUCUUCACUGCUCAUGUUCUCCUCAGAAAUAGUCACCUCACUCCCCUCAGGUUACUGUACACAUGCACCAACUAUCUGCUUCAGGUUUGAAAUGGAGCUUCAUGGUUGUCUUUUGGAGAAAUGAACAGUCAAGUUGUGUUUGAAAUUUGAUUUUUUUCAGGGGCAAAAGGAAGCCUCUGCAUUCUUGUCAAAUAUGUAAACAGCAUGUUUUUGCAGGUGCUAAAAAACAGACUCUGAGUGUGUGUGUGUGUCUGUGUGUGUGUGUGUGUGUGUGUGUGUGUGUGUGUGUAUGUUGGCGUGUGUGUAUAUGUGUGUGUAUCCUGCAGUACUCUGUACUCCUGCAGUGGCCAAAAAGACUUUAAAGAAUGUGGAUUUUUGGGUCAUCUUUGGCGCCCCCUAGAACUGCAGUACUCUGUACUCCUGCAGUGGCCAAAAUGACUUUUAAGAAUGUGGAUUUUUGGGUCAUCUUUGGCGCCCCCUAGAACGUAAACCGUGGGGUGCAGCGUCAUGAUUUUUACAACUUUGAAUGGGCAUGGGGUGUAGAUUGCCCUGAGCAAAUUUGGUAUCGGUGGGACGAAAGCCUUAGGAGGAGAUAGCCACAUUCCAAUGUGUGCGAAUCGGCAAAAAAUGCAAAAUAGCCCUUUAACCGUACAUUAUACAGAUACGCGCUCUUUGACUUUUUCGUAGAUCUAAUUGAGAUACACAUGAUUGUCAAUUUUUGUGUCAAUAUGACAAAGCGUUCAGGCGUGACACUCAACAAUGUGUAUUUUCAUGUAAGGGGACAAGAAAAAAUUGACUUUUUUCUCCUACCAUGGGGGGCGCUCUUUUGGGGAGUAAAAAUUCCUUCACAAAUGUGUUGAUGGCUGGACAUUGCAUCAUCCUAGAAAACUUGGAGGCCAGUGAGGACAAAAAUAAAAAGUUAUAAAACAUUUAAGAAUGUGGAUUUUUGGGUUAUUUUUGGCGCCCCCUAGAACCUAAACCAUGGGGUGCAGCAUCAUGAUUUGAAUAACUUUUAAUGGGCAUGGGGUGUAGAUUGGCCUGAGCAAAUGUGGUGCCAAUGGAACGAAAGCCUUCGGAGGAGUUAGCGAAAUUCCAAUGUGUGCGGAUCGGCAAAAAAUGCGAAAUAACCCUUUAACCGUAAUUUUGACAGAUACGCGUGCAUGGACUUUUUUGUAGAUCUUAUUGAGUUACAUGUGUGUGUCAAUUUUUGUGUCAUUUUGACAAAGCGUAUAGGCGUGACACUCAACAAUGUGUAUUUUCACCUUAGGGGACAAGAAAAAAUGGACUUUUUUCUCCUGCCAUGGGGAGGCGCUCUUUUGGGGAGUAAAAAUUCCUUCACAAAUGUGUUGAUGGCUGGACAUUGCAUCAUCCUAGAAAACUUGGAGGCCAGUGAGGACAAAAAUAAAAAGUUAUAAGACUUUUAAAUAUGUGGAUUUUAGUGUUAUCUUUGGCGCCCCCUAGAACCUAAACCUUGGGGUGCAGCGUCAUGAUUUUGAUAACUUUUAAUGGCCACGGGGUGUAGAUUGGCCUGAGCAAAUGUGGUGCCGGUGGAACGAAAGCCUUCGGAGGAGUUAGCGAAAUUCCAAUGUGUGCGGAUCGGCAAAAAAUGCAAAAUAACCCUUUAACCGUCAUUUUGACAGAUACGGCCGCACUGACUUUUUUGUAGAUCUUAUUGAGAUACAUGUGUGUGUCAAUUUUUGUGUCAUUUUGACAAAGCGUACAGGCGUGACAGUCAAUAGUGUGAAUUUCCACCUUAGGGGGCGCUAUGGAGCCAUUUUGCAUUUUAUUGUUUUGGCGACUUCAGAAUAUCGAAUUUUUUACCAGGCCCGGUCGUCCUGCCAAAUUUCAUGAGUUUUCGCCAGUGGGAAGUGGGCCAUUUUCCAGUUCAAAGGGGAGGAAAAAGAAGAAAGAAAGAAACAAAGAAAAACCCCUACAGGAAUAACAGGGCCUACGCCCGGCUGCUCUGCAGCUGGCUCGGGCCCUAACUAGGGCCCCGGUGGGGCACUGUCGGGCCCGAGCC
Molecule: long non-coding RNA, 5449 nt
Filed under: Xyrichtys novacula (pearly razorfish)
Lineage: Eukaryota; Metazoa; Chordata; Actinopteri; Labriformes; Labridae
Source: RNAcentral